This is a long non-coding RNA of Sitophilus oryzae (rice weevil), 966 nucleotides long. RefSeq lists it as uncharacterized. The transcript has 3 exons. NCBI's taxonomy places the organism in Eukaryota, Metazoa, Arthropoda, Insecta, Coleoptera, Curculionidae. The record is from RefSeq and is a predicted model, not a curated record.
UAUCAAUUAUUUUUAAAGCAUAUUAUGUGUUCAACAUACCAAAAAAAUAUAUAUUAUCAUUUCAUCAUACAAAUCCAGUUACAAACCAAUAAAACUUCUAAUACUUAUAAAUACCCGACUGAGAUCCUGAUCUCAAACCUCUUGCUGUUAUCUGAUCAGGAACUUUUUAAUAGUAUAUAUGUAUAACUGGCUGAAGUGAAUUAGCCUUUUAAAGGCAACCGUGUUAUAAGCUUCACUCAAAUACACAUGUAUUUAGAGAAUAUCAAGAAGAUAUUUAUUUCAAUGAACGCAAAAUUUAGUUGAUUUAAACAGUUUCUUUUUUCUGUGUGCUGAUUGAUUAUCAUAUUUUAUAGUGUUUUGGGUUUUGGCAAGUUUUGGGCCUCGACGACUAUCAUAUUAUGAAAAAGAACAGAAUGAAGUCACUGAUAAUAUCACAGAUGCCGAAGAAGAAAUUGUAACAGAAGAUGAUUGUCAUGAUACUAAAGAGACCAAUGCUUUCUCAGAAAGUAUACAAAACAGUUCACAGGAGUCAACUGAUAAUAUUGUCGUACAAGUGAAACCAACAGAAGCACCUAAAUCUAUACCGCCUAAAACAAGAAAACGAAAAGUGGAAAAUACAUCAGAUUCUCGUAUUGAUGAAGCAUUUGAUUUUUGAGAUGUAUGCAACGUGACGCCUGUGAAGUGUAUGGUGAACAUAUUGCCGCGAAAUUACGAACCUAUAGCACGCGAACACACUCUGUGUCUCCACAAACAGCAAAUUUAAACAACGAAGUUGAAACUACCACCCUAUUUACUAUGGUAUCACGACCAAAUUCGAAUAUACAAUCCCUCGCUGAGACAUGACUAUCAGUGAACAUUCACGUUCCAUCCUCACAAUCAGCAUCAACGUAUUUUAACAACUUCAACCCUUCCACACAUUAUUUAAAUCAGUAGCUAUAGUAGUAUGUUUUAUACACCUUCAUGUAA